GGCAGAAUGGCUGAGUGGUCUAAGGCGCUGGUUUCAGGUACCAGUGACUGCGGUGGCGUGUGUUCGAAUCCCACUUCUGUCA
This 82-nucleotide transfer RNA is filed under the name Clytia hemisphaerica. RNAcentral describes it as "tRNA-Leu for anticodon CAG". It matches the Rfam family "tRNA". Rfam says of the family: Transfer RNA (tRNA) molecules are approximately 80 nucleotides in length. Their secondary structure includes four short double-helical elements and three loops (D, anti-codon, and T loops). The record is from Rfam by way of RNAcentral. Lineage: Eukaryota; Metazoa; Cnidaria; Hydrozoa; Leptothecata; Clytiidae.